This 208-nucleotide long non-coding RNA is filed under the name Elaeis guineensis (African oil palm). RNAcentral describes it as "long non-coding RNA (EGUI_LNC063210)". Lineage: Eukaryota; Viridiplantae; Streptophyta; Magnoliopsida; Arecales; Arecaceae. The record is from RNAcentral.
AUAUGAUAGAUUAAACUAUUUAAUCUAUAUUAUAUGCACAAGAUCUAAUAUAAACUAUCAUGUUAGGAUUUAUAAUAUAAUUAAAUAUACAAUCAAAAUCUAAAAUUAAUAAAAACUUGCAUCGAUCACAUCGAUGCUCUAGAUUAGAUCUAACUGUUAGAUCUGAUUUAAUCUGAUCAAAUGAGCUCAGAACUCAUUAUGUUUGCAU